UGAAGUCUCCUGGAACGGAGCGUGAAACAGGGUGACAACCCCGUAAGAUGAGUCAGUACGGAUGGCGUCAAAUCCAGAGUAGCAGGGGUCGGAUAUCCUCUGUGAACAUCUCAGGCAUCCCCUGAGAAGGCUAAACACUCCUCGAGACCGAUAGCGAACAAGUAGCGUGAGCGAACGCUGAAAAGCACCCCGAAAAGGGCGGUGCAAUAGGGCCUGAAAUCAGCUGGCGAUCGAGCGACAGGGCGUACAAGGCG
This 254-nucleotide ribosomal RNA is filed under the name Halorubrum hochstenium ATCC 700873. RNAcentral describes it as "partial 23S ribosomal RNA". It matches the Rfam family "Archaeal large subunit ribosomal RNA", at positions 327 to 580 of the family's 2987-position model. Lineage: Archaea; Methanobacteriati; Methanobacteriota; Halobacteria; Halobacteriales; Haloferacaceae. The record is from RNAcentral.